Molecule: long non-coding RNA, 3854 nt
Organism: Herpailurus yagouaroundi (jaguarundi)
Lineage: Eukaryota; Metazoa; Chordata; Mammalia; Carnivora; Felidae
Exons: 2
Source: RefSeq, a predicted model, not a curated record
GAAAGAGAGCUAGAAUCACCAGCCAGCCCCACAUAGACUUUGCACCAAAAAGCUGAAUGCCUUUGGUUCACAGCAGAGGGCACACUGUUCUCAAAAGGGAGAAAUACUUAUUUUGGCUAAAUCUCUGAAACCUGGGGAAGUUCAAGAACUCUAGAGAUAACAAGAUAUUCCAAGAAGGUGGGCCUUUUUUUUUUAAGUCUUUCUUUCCUUUUACAUGGCUCCAGGCUUUAAAAAAAAAAAAAAAAUAGAAAAAGGGAAGUUGCUUCUCUAGAGCGUAACCUCUCUCUACCCCAAGUUCCCAUGUGGCCAGUAGUGGCCAACGAGGACCUCUAAAGGAACUCAAAGAAAGUGAACAAAUAAACUCAACCCAGGAGUCAACACAGAAUCAGAGACAUGCAAAGACAUUCAAGAGUCAACAACCUGCCUGACACUAAUUCCCUAUUUAAAGCAAGAACACAUCAGUCAGAGGCAGAGAGGUGGCCAACCAUGGAAGCAGACAAAAAUCGGAGUCUAAGAAGCCACCCAGCUCCGCCCAAGGGAGUAUAAGCCCCACCGCCAAUUCACGCCUCCACAUGCCAUUGCCAAGUGUGAUGUUCCCAUGCAGGAUGGAGGAGUCAGGCUCCCCUCACAGGACACCUCUGGACACUAAUUCCACUGGCUAGCUCUCCUCACUGUGAUUCCUUGUUUACCUCGCACUCUCCUGCUUACCACCAAGCUUGCCUUGAAGUUUGCUAUACAGAGGAAAUCUGCUCGUCAAAGAGUGCCAGUGGUCUGGCACUUACACGUCUCACAGUAAAUCAUCAACUUGGCAUCUUACUAGAAGCCUGCCAAUUGCACCUGUCCCUGGGAGGUAGCCCUGCUCUGCUGGAGCUGCCAGUCUGUCUUUUGAGCCUGUUUUCAGAUGUACUGAAUUACUAGAGGAAGCCAGCUUCAUUAAUGCUAAAGUUCAAUGGGACAAGGAGCAGACCCUUCAUAGGUACCCUCACCAACCUAACAAGGCAACCGUCUAACACCUGCCCCUGAGGCCCUCCAGUCCAGAUACCAUGUUCUACCACUUGGCUGGACAAAGACCUUCAGCCUCCAGCUGGGCUUCUGCUCUCCCAUCUGGAACCCACCUCAAUCCAUUGCAGGUUCUGGUUCCUCCUUGAUCUGUCUUGCUGGAUAUCACUAGCCCACCCAUGCUCUGCCAGAACAUGACUAUGAGGGCUGGGAUCACGCUCUUUAUUCAACUCACUCAACAAACUUCUUGGGGGAAAGGAGAGCGGGAGGAAAAUGAUUCUCCCCCAAGACUUGGGGGUUGGUGGGGGGGUGGGGGAGGUGUGUGUCAGGCAAUUUUUUUGCACGUUAAUCUCAAUUUUUAUGUAGACAUUAUCAGCCAGUGAGUCCUCACUGGAGGAACCACCAAUGUGUUUUUCACCAGGGCCUGAACCCACUCUUAGAAGGCCCUGUGAAGAGUUAUGCCAUGCCAGCACAUCAUGCCCUCCACUUUGGCCCCAGUGCCAGCCCAUUGCAGGCAAAGAAGGGGAUCCCAAGGACUGUGACUAUGAGCCACUGUGAAAGUGUAUGGGAAAGGAGGAAAGGCUGAAGUUUUUAUCAUUUUUUUUUUCCAGUAGACAAACAUUUACCACCACCCCCACCUUUGGACAACGCAUGACUGUGCCAUCAGUCAUAAGAAUAAGCUCAGUGACUACGUUGGGGGAAUUUUAUAAACCCACAGAAGCCGGAAGCAGUGUUAUCAGGAGUACCCUUUGUCCAACAUCUUCAGCAGAUUUUCACAUGUCCUGGAAGGACAUAUCUCCUCUACAAUUCUCAAUCCUCAGUUUCCUGCGACAUAAAAUGGGGAUAAUACUGUAACCCCCAUACUACAUGCCAGCAUAAGCUCUCUUUUCCCUAGGACUGUUACGAGGAGGAAACAUCUUUAAAUGCGCAAAUUAUUUGGCACCAAAAACAAAAGUGUUCCCCAAAAUUAGUAAGUCUCAGAAAUGCCAAUUAUUUUGGAAGGGCAGAGCCACUGAUUUAGAGGCAAAUCUUCAGUCUUCUGGGAAGACUUCAUCUCCAGUUCUGCCACCACUUCUUGGCUAUUUAAUAUGGCACAAGUCUGGUAUUUCACGGUGUUCCACUGCAAAAUGAGAGAACACAUCUACUUUGGAGGGAGUUAUGCAUUAUAAAUGAGAUGACACUUGUCACCAUGAAACAUCAGAUAGCUUGUGCUCAGGUACAACUGAGGCCCUUUGUCUUUCACACAGCAGGAUUUCCUUAUUUAAAUACUGUACCAGUAAGACCAGAAAGACACAAGCUGCCCAAGAUCAGGGGGGCAUCCCAGGCUGGUAUCAGCUGGUACCAGCACCAGCAUGCUGUCCAUAUAUCACAGUGUGCUGCAUGGACCGUGAAGCCACCGGAGUUAUUUCCAAAAAAAGAAAAAGAAAAAAAGAAAAGAAAAAGGAAAAAGAAAGAAAAACAAAAAUAUGUCAGCUUCACUCACCAGCAGAUUGACACAUUCCUCCUUAGGGAGCACACACCUAGUUUUGGGUUUUUUUUUUGUAUUUUAUAUUCCAUAAAAUUUCAUAAAAUCACUUCAGGGCAUAAAUGCUGAUUACAAAGCACCUUAACUGAAAUAUAUUUUAAUGGCCCACAUUUUCCAGAACACACACACACACACACACACACACACACACACACACAAACAUAACUACAUCAAAUAUAAAAUGCCCAUCUGAAAGGCCACAAAUUUCACAUAAAUAUAGACAGGAGUUAGAAAAGAACAGAAGAGAACACAAAUCAUCGUUUUUUGCUCAAGGACAUUAGAUAUUUACGUUUGAAAAGACUAAGAAAGAUCAAAUUUUUAACUUUUCAGAGGUAACACUCAGACUGCUGACCAUCUUAUCUUCACCUCCAAACCACCUCCUUGUCAAGGAAGAAGUAAGAUUUAAACCACUUUCAAAAUGGCAAAGUCCUCUUCCUUCAGGACAGAGAACAAAACCAGUUUCCUUUCAGCCGGCGCACAACAUGUGCAUUUGGUAAAGCUUUUGAGACAAAAUUCUAAGGAUUUUACAAAGCACUUAGGGAACGAAUAGCCUUGUUUCACCUUGGUCCAAAAAUCUGACUCUUAGAAUUGAAAGAGACAUUCACCAUCAUCCAACCCAGGAUGCUUUCACACUGAAUUUUGGCUGCAAAAGCCUUAUUCAAAGGAAACCCUCCGGGAGCCCUAACCUGUAAGGAAGCUGCAAGUAGGCUUGUCCAGGAAGAAGUGGGAAGGCAGAACCCGGCUCAGUCUACCCCCAUCCAUUUCCCAGCAGAAAGCACCCUAAGCUCAUCUCCAGAAGCUUGGGGCUCAUGGAAACACAGUUGGAAAAUGAGUGAACACCCCAACCCUCAUACAACAGAAGAAGGACACUGAGGCCAAAAAAGCUGACAAGUAGCAACAGUCCAUUGGGCAAAUGGAGGAGGCCUGGUCAAACAUUAGAGGGGCUCAAAACAGCCACUUCCUGGCCUCCAAGCAGCUGGAGUGACUCUAUCACCCAUUUGAGGCCAAUAAGGCAUCAGAAGAAAUCUGCUAACAGUCGCUUUUCUGAUGAAAGAGACAAAGUAAGAAGAGAACUACUGGUGUUUCUUUUUCCUCCUCAUUCUUGUUGAGCCUCCUUAUUCUUAUUCUGUGAGGACAUGACGCCUAGUGUUACAACAGCCAUCUUCACACUAUGAAGUGCAAGCAGAAGACAAAAGGCCAACAUGCUGAGUAUGGAUGAGCAAAAGAGGAGAAAAGAGCUUGAGCUAUUUAAUGAAUCUGAAGCCACUUGCUCCUGACUUUGGUUAAGUAAACAAUAAAUGUCCUUAUAGUAAAAGGCAUUAUUCAUCAA